This 973-nucleotide long non-coding RNA is filed under the name Equus asinus (donkey). RNAcentral's name for it is "lncRNA (ENSEASG00005036360.1, ENSEASG00020025922.1)". Lineage: Eukaryota; Metazoa; Chordata; Mammalia; Perissodactyla; Equidae. The record is from RNAcentral.
AUCUAGUAAGCAAACUGUUUUCCUGAGUUCUGUGAGCUGUUCUAGCAAAUUAGUUGAACCUGAGGAGGAGGUUGUGGGAACCUCUGAUUUAUAGCCAAUUGGUCAGAAGCACAUGUGAUACUCUGCACUUGCAAUCGGCAUCUGAAGUGGGGGCAGUCUUGUGAAACUGAACCCUUAACCUGUGAGAGCUGAUGCUAUCUCCAGCUAAAUAGUGGCAGAAUUGAGUUAAAUUGUAGGGAGCAUAGCUGGUGUCUGCUGGAGAGUUGGAGAAUUGGUUGAUUUGGAAAAAAUCACACACAUUUGGUGACCAGAAGUGCCAGAACUGAAGUAUUCAUAGAAAGGAUUUACUGCAAAGACCCACAUUUCCCAGUGCGACUUAGGGGUCUUCAUUUCUUUGUGUAGAUUGAAACUUAUCCCUGGUAUCAUGUUUCUUCUGCUUGAAGAGCAUCCUUUAACAUUUCUUGUAGUUUGGGCUCUUCUCCAAAGACGUCACUGGACACUCAAAUCAAAGAUUGGAGAGAUCCCAAAAAAGCAUUCCUCAUAGUAGGAGCCAGAGUGAGGAGAAUAGCAGCAGUGAAUCCUACCAAGAUAUGUUUCUUCUAUUUCAUCUAUGGAACAAAACCCCUAAAUGUGAAAGAGUGUCUGGCUACGUCUUCUCCAUGUGGGACACCUACCAAAGCAUGGCGUGCCAAGUGGUGCCAUGUCCGCACCCAGGAUCCGAACCCACGAACCCCAGGCCGCAGAGAAGUGGAACGUGGGAACUUAACUGCUGCGCUACUGGGCCAGCCCUCAGCACUUUUGAACAUGUGGCCUGUAAGAUUUCUGCAGAGACAUCCCCUGAUACCCUUAUGUGGUUUCCCUCAUAUGUGACGAUUUUCUUUCUGUCGCUACUUUUAAAAUUCUCUUUGUCAUUGAUUUUAGAUAGUUUUAUUAUAACGUAUCUUGGAAAAGAUUGUUUUGGGUUGAUAUCUUG